This 246-nucleotide ribosomal RNA is filed under the name uncultured bacterium. Its description in RNAcentral is "partial 16S ribosomal RNA". It matches the Rfam family "Bacterial small subunit ribosomal RNA", at positions 86 to 334 of the family's 1533-position model. The record is from RNAcentral.
GUAUGGCGACCGGCGCACGGUGAGUAACGCGUAUGCAACCUGCCCGAUACCGGGGUAUAGCCCAUGGAAACGUGGAUUAACACCCCAUAGUACUUUUAUCCUGCCUGGGAUGGGAGUUAAAUGUUCAAGGUAUCGGAUGGGCAUGCGUCCUAUUAGUUAGUUGGCGGGGUAACAGCCCACCAAGACGAUGAUAGGUAGGGGUUCUGAGAGGAAGGUCCCCCACAUUGGAACUGAGACACGGUCCAA